UUUCAUUCGCUUGAGGCCAGCGGUUGCAUUACAGUCGCCAGUUGCGGUGUCUGAACUUUCGUGCACAGAUCUGUGUGUAUCUUGAUGAUGCUAUCUACAUUGCUACUCCUCCACUCUCUUGUUCUGUCGUCUAUCCGGGAAGCAUCCAGCAACGCGGGAACCGAAGUCGACUGCUUUCCACCGAAACCCGACUCCAAGACGCAGGUUCUCAGGCUCUCCUGUCAGGCGAAGAUCAGUGGCAGUUUCAAGGCAGUAGUACAUGAUGAAGAAAACCACCAAUUAAUUGUUGG
Molecule: long non-coding RNA, 290 nt
Organism: Corticium candelabrum
Lineage: Eukaryota; Metazoa; Porifera; Homoscleromorpha; Homosclerophorida; Plakinidae
Exons: 3
Source: RefSeq, a predicted model, not a curated record